UACGAAGGGUGCAAACGUUGCUCGGAAUUAUUUGGGCGUAAAGGGCUCGUAGGCGGUUUUUGUCGCGUCGGGGAGUGAAAACCUACAGCUUAACUGUGGGCUUUGCUUUUCGAUACGGGCAGACUUGAGGCAUGCAGGGGAGACUGGAAUUCCUGGUGUAGCGGUGAAAUGCGCAGAUAUCAGGAGGAACACCGGUGGCGAAGGCGGGUCUCUGGGCCGAUACUGACGCUGAGGAGCGAAAGCGUGGGGAGCGAACAGG
This 259-nucleotide ribosomal RNA is filed under the name uncultured bacterium. Its description in RNAcentral is "partial 16S ribosomal RNA". It matches the Rfam family "Bacterial small subunit ribosomal RNA", at positions 524 to 776 of the family's 1533-position model. The record is from RNAcentral.